This 152-nucleotide ribosomal RNA is filed under the name Symbiodinium sp. ex Astreopora myriophthalma. RNAcentral describes it as "partial 18S ribosomal RNA". It matches the Rfam family "Eukaryotic small subunit ribosomal RNA", at positions 1681 to 1831 of the family's 1831-position model. Lineage: Eukaryota; Dinophyceae; Suessiales; Symbiodiniaceae. The record is from RNAcentral.
CCUGACAAAAAAUAAUCCCGGGGAAAAUUUUUUGGACUGACGCAGUGCUCAGCUUCUGGACGUUGCGUCGGAAAGUUUCAUGAACCUUAUCACUUAGAGGAAGGAGAAGUCGUAACAAGGUUUCCGUAGGUGAACCUGCGGAAGGAUCAUUC